AAAUGGAGGAAGAAUUCUGACAAUCCGUCUACAAGGUGAUGUUAACCAGAAAGGAAGAUGCCUCGACAAAAUAUUAAGCAUCCAUCUUACUCGAAAAGAUAAAGAAACCUACGCCUAGAGAAAAGAAUUAUCAAUAAUUACAUGAAUAUUUACAAUUUGCAUUUACCUUUUUAGAAGAACGAUCUUACCCUCAGCAUCUUCAUGCACAAUGCUCAGUACAUCAUCAGGAGGAAUAUGCAACCAAACUUUAGGCUUCUUGAGUUGGUGUCCUAUUUGAGCCAAUUUAUCAGCAGCUCUAUUGCCUUCCCUAUAAACAUGAGUCACAAUGCAAUUGUCUAGUGCCGGUUGAUCAUGUUUAUAUCUCCAACAUGCCUUCGCAUUUCUGCACACUUCACCUCUCUUCCUUUCACUACAAUUUCCACAAAUGUUUUGGCAUCUCCUUCAAGCCACACAUUGCUCCAGCCAUUUUCUAACACCAACUCCGGGCCUCUUCGAAGCGCAGCCACUUCUGCUAUGGUGUUAGUAGUUCUGCCUAUGGAUUCUGCGUAACCCAGUAGGAAUUCUGCCUUGUGAUUCCUGAAGACUCCUCCAACGCUAGCUUUGCCUUCUCUGCCUUUGCAUGAACCAUCGAAAUUCAAUUUAGUCCAUCCUAUUUUAGGUUUCUCCCAUGCCACAGGUACAGGGUCGCUGUGCCAAUUCCUAAUCAAAAUACAAACUGGGUUUUGUGUUAUUCUUUGGAAUCUAAACAUGUUAGUGUUCAAUGGUAACAUUGUGUAGGUAUUUUUCUUGAAAACCAUUCAAAAGGUAGCUAUAGAAUGUAUGAAGAUAUGUACAGAAAACAGAAAAUUUG
RNAcentral lists this unclassified non-coding RNA (850 nucleotides) under Hevea brasiliensis (rubber tree). Lineage: Eukaryota; Viridiplantae; Streptophyta; Magnoliopsida; Malpighiales; Euphorbiaceae. The record is from RNAcentral.